Molecule: long non-coding RNA, 1975 nt
Organism: Carassius auratus (goldfish)
Lineage: Eukaryota; Metazoa; Chordata; Actinopteri; Cypriniformes; Cyprinidae
Exons: 4
Source: RefSeq, a predicted model, not a curated record
AGGUUGAAUUAUUCUCAUGAACAACCUCAAAAUGUAUUUAUUUUCAGUGUGAACAAUUGAGACAUACAGAAAAUGUAAUUUCAUCACUGCAAAGUCUGAAUCAUGGCACGUGAUGAGACAUUCUGCUCUACAUCCAGGCCUGUGUUUGAUAGCCCACCCAUCCGACGGCUGCCAGCUCUGUAAACAUUUACUCAUGCUAUUAACACAGACCACUGAAUUCAGCACUGUCUGACCACAUAUUACAUAGCAGCUAUAGUUAGAAUAUAAUGUCUGACUUGUACCACUGCUGGGAAGCAUUGUAACAUACACAACCCGUUCAUGACUCAUUGUAAACAACACGGAAACAAAUAUACAACAGGGACGGGACAUAUUAAGGCUCUUUGAUACAUGAACCGGGCUCCAUGUCAAAUAAAACCUCCGUUUACAGAUCCAAGAACUGAGAACACACUGGCUGCUGUCCCAUUCCCAUGUGUUGAGCACAAAAUAAGCUGUGAGAUAUGUUUAGGAUGUGGAUUAUAAUGCUGUGAUAAUUACAGGAAUCUGCAGGCGGAUGACGGCACAUCUCAGUCACUUCAUAGUUUGCUUCUAUGUCUAAAUUAAGAUCUGAUGAGUCAGAGAGACUGUUAGAGGAGACCUGUUAACAUCGAAAGUGUGUCCGCCAGGGUUGACUGCAGUGGCCUUCAGAGUGGGCACAGGGUUUUUUGAUGGGAUUUACAGUGAACUGCAGGUGCCGUGGCCCUGGGGGCUGUAUGGUACUAUUGUGAGAGGAACAAUGGCGCAGAAAAGCUUGGGAACCGCUGCUUUGCUUUGUUCUCGUGUAUUGUCUGUUCCCAGGAUGUCCUUCAGGAAAAUGACAAAAAAGGUCAAGCAACUGACACUCUACAUUACCUUCCCAAGACGAUGAAAUGAUUGGCAGGGGAAGACAAAGGAAUAUCUUGAUUGUUUAAUCUCAAGAUUUAUGAACGGAAAUGAUGCUUUUCACUCGUCAAAGCUAUUUAUGACUGUGACCGUUGCAUGUUGAGGAAGGCAAUUACAACAGGAUGUGACCCGUGUCCACGUUUACAGUUCUCAAAGCAGGGCAGAGAGAAGCUCAAAUGAAUCAAAACAGUCCUCCCCAGUAACAAGUGCCUGAAACCAAAGCGCAGAGACUGGGACUGGGGUCAGAGCGCUAUGACCUUUAGCUUAUUUGCACAUUGCUGUAGACCAAAAGAUGGCAGUCCCUUAUUCAAGCACAAGUCAUAAAACUGAAGGGCAAAACAAACAUGAAAAGUUGUGGGCGACUGACCUUGCCAAACAUUUAGGGAGAGACAGCUGGAACACUACUUGAUGUCGUUUCAACAAAACCCCUUUAAUUAGAAAAUAGCAGCCUAAGAAACUGGAUGGGGACAUGGAACGUGAGCUUCGUUUUGUUUGAGGUCUUACGGGUUUGAGACAACAUGAGGGUAAGUUAUUAAUUACAUACAUUUUGAUAUCUGGGUGAACUAACCCUUUAAACAUUUCCUCAUCGUGCAUUUAUUUUUGUAUAUUAAGUAGCACUAGGUUUCCAUUCAUAAUUGUAAGGAAGGCUAACACGACAAAAGCAUAAUACCUUAGUGGAAAUUGAUGCAUCGGCGCCAAAGGCUGAUGGGAAUGCUGGGAUACGCACCUUCGUCUGAGCUCUUGUUUGUGUCUGGCUAUCAUCAGUAUCAUUACAGUGCAGAUCUGGGUGUGGUUGGCAGGAAGAGACUCGGCCCAGUGUACCCAAAACAAAGACUGGAGCAGCGAACCCUCAGCUUCAGCAACUUCAAAGCUGAAAUCUGUGCGGUUGAUGGGUUAUUCCAAAACAUUUUCUUCUGCAUGCUUAAAAAUAAAGCUUCUUAAUGAGAGGUUUAACAGUCGUGCUGUAGAAGAGCCAUUUCUUCUUGGUGUGAAGAACACGUCAGAACCUUUCCAUGGAUGUUAAAAGGUCUUCAUGGAGCUACCCAUGAAGACGACA